RNAcentral lists this long non-coding RNA (399 nucleotides) under Mytilus galloprovincialis (Mediterranean mussel). Lineage: Eukaryota; Metazoa; Mollusca; Bivalvia; Mytilida; Mytilidae. The record is from RNAcentral.
AUUUUUUUUUUAUUAAAACCUAUACUUUAUAUAUACAAACUAAUAUUAAUACAGGCAUCAAUUUAAUGCAGGGGUGGCAAAAAACUACAUAUUGGAUUUUGCUGAAAAUAGACUUUUGACACAUACUGCCUAUUUAACGGUUUUACACAAUUUCAGAAAAAAAAGAGUUAUCAAGUUUUACAUAAUACCAUGAAUACAUGGCUAACGGGUGUGGCACUGUAUAAAAAAUAAUUAUUGCAAUUAAUAGGUAAAGCUGUCAAAAAGUUCACCAGUGGAGUUUAAGUCAACCCAAUGUGAAUGCAAAGCAGGAAAUGGAAAUUGUAGCCACUGCAUUGGUCUUCUGUAUGUUCUAAGCCAUUUCCAGAAGCUUGGUUUGAAAGCUGUGCCACCAUUUCAAAG